This 398-nucleotide ribosomal RNA is filed under the name uncultured bacterium. RNAcentral describes it as "bacterial SSU rRNA". It matches the Rfam family "Bacterial small subunit ribosomal RNA", at positions 28 to 418 of the family's 1533-position model. The record is from RNAcentral.
GACGAACGCUGACGGUGUGCUUUAGACAUGCAAGUCGAACGAGAAAGCCCUUCGGGUGAGUACAGUGGCGAACGGGUGAGUAACACGUGGGCAACCUGCCCCUCGCAGGGGGACGAACCGGAGGAAACUACCGGCUAAUACCCCGUAAGCUUGUUGGGUCGCAUGACCCUUCAAGGAAAGGUAGCUUCGGCCAUCCGGCGAGGGAUGGGCCCGCGGUACAUUAGCUAGUUGGUGGGGUAACGGCCCACCAAGGCGACGANGUAUAGCUGGUCUGAGAGGAUGAUCAGCCACACUGGGACUGAGACACGGCCCAGACUCCUACGGGAGGCAGCAGUCGGGAAUCUUGCGCAAUGGGCGAAAGCCUGACGCAGCAACACCGUGUGAGCGACGAAGGCCUC